Molecule: long non-coding RNA, 220 nt
Filed under: Zostera marina
Lineage: Eukaryota; Viridiplantae; Streptophyta; Magnoliopsida; Alismatales; Zosteraceae
Description: long non-coding RNA (ZMAR_LNC003326)
Source: RNAcentral
AAUUGGUAAAUACUAAUAUUAUCAGAAGUACCCUUGAAAAUAGCAUAAUGGGUAAGCAUUAAUAUUAGCAGAAGUACAUUGCAUAGUAGCUUGGUUGGUGAAUUAACUCUUCGUAUAAGUAGUGAUAUUAGCAGAAGUACACUAGAAAGUAGCGUAAUGGAUAUAUACUAAUAUUAGCAGAAGUACAUUGCGUAGUAACGUGGUUAGUGGAUUAAUUCUU